AUGCAUUCCAGCACCCGUCACCUCGGAGGCGGCAGGACGUGGGCUCUGGACCCGGCUCUGCGGCAGCCGCUGCCCGGAACACCCUGUCGUCCCCCACAAGCCUCCCUGUCCCGCGCUCCCGAUUCCCCUUUCAGGAAUUUACAAACAUUUUCCGCAGAUCAAUAUCUGUAUUGAUUAUUCAUUGUGUGCGAGUCGUGUGUCUUUGGUGAUCCAACCUGGCAGAGUGAGCAGCCAAAGGCUGCUGCAGUUGCACACAAAAAAAUCCACAGAAGGCGAGAGGGACCCAGACCUCGCCGGGCUUACCGCUGCCAGCCACGGAGACGGAUGGAGAGGAAGGAAGAAAGAAAAUGGGGAAGUCGGAAGGAGGAAUGAGGGAACGAGGGAGCCAAGGAGAGAAAGCAAGAGCAGGAAAACAAAGUCACCGCUGGAGAACUGGUGCCGGGGCAUGCUGGCAGCCUGGAGAAAUUUCCAGCCUUGUGCUCGCCGUUCUGCACGCAGAUGUGGUGGACUUAAUGCUCUGGGAGCAAAAAGUGACUCACAGUUUUGGUAUCUGCUACGUAAGAGCAUUGGGGGGAUUCCUUGGCUGGCUGACAGAAAAGGAAGAAAGCAGCAGCAGAGGUACAAAACGAUUCCUUCCUCCUGCCUUCCUGGGAAUGCGGCUCAUCCGGGCUGGCUGGAGCAGCUCCCUGCUCUCUUAUGAUAUGCAAAAGGAGAAUAAUUAAAAGCGCCAGCAUCACUCGCAAAGUGAGUAAACACAAAGCCUUUCAAAACAUGCUCUUCAGCUAAUGAGAAGCUGUAAUUUCUUAUACUUAAAGGCAAAAAAGACACUGAUGAGACUCAGUGGAGUGUGUGUGCAUGCGCGCCUGCCUGUGUGUGCAUGUGUUUGUAGAUACGAGAGAAUCGGUUAAUUGUUGAUGAUGUUUAGAAAAGGGAUUAUGAGAAAAGACACUGAAAUGAUGACAGGAAACAUCUUGGAUCAGAGCCAAAGAAAUAAAAUAAUCAAGGACAAUCAAGCCUGCGGCUCCGGAAAGCGCCGACUGCUCUGCCGGGGACUUGGAAGGAAUUUCCCCGUGCUGCUGAGCUGCAGCUGGAAUACGUGCUUGGCACCAGGAGGGAGAACUGCAAGAAGCAGUUUGCUUAGAGCAUGAAACAACAGAAGGCAGAACUAUGGAGCUGUGCUAUAAUUCAGAGGUUAAACAGCUUUGUCUGCUUCUAUCUCGGACGGAGUCUCAUUUUUACCCACAUCUGACCUGGUCUCUGAAAAUGCAACUUCUGAAGCCCUCUGAAUGCAAGCAGAAGCUGACGAUUCUCCAUAUGCCUUUCCAGAACUGCUGUGACAUUACAAAAACAAAGAAAAGGGAGCUUGAGGAAUUAAGUUCUCUUGUGGCUGCAGGAUCUGCUGGACCUUACCAUGUGAACUGACUCUGGAAACAAUUCCUUCCUUAAUUCUGGAAAUUGGAAACCACUUACGCCAGGUGGGGGAUUGCAACUCCCUGCCUCCAAGCUCACAGGAAAAGCAACAAUCAUCUGCAAUAACAGGAGCAAGCUUUACUUCUCACCUGGGCAUAUGAUAGCUGCCCUAAACGAAUGGAUUGUAAUGUUUUCUUUCUCUUGGGCUGAGGUUGGGUGGGGAGAGAGGACACAGGGAAUUUUAAGCCUCCUGGUGACUGUUACAUUGUAUGUGAGCUACAAAAAUGCCAUCCCUUUGCUCUGGAUGAUAAACUUCAUCUUGCUUUGUUAUUACUGAAUUCUGGUGCAUUACGUUCUGGGCUUCUCCAGCAACAGAAACACAGGGUCUAUUAAAGUGGGAAUCUUUGGGGACAAGGAGGCAGAGAAAUGAGCCAAUCAUACAUGACUUUUCCACAUUUCCUAUUUUUCAGCAUCUGCAGGAAGCUUUUCGGAUGACUCCAGAUGUUCAUGAACAAGAAUGAAAGGCAGAGAUGCAAAACCUACAAUGAAAACAAAUGAUACGUUUAAACGGUGUUCAGGCUGAAAGGUGGGGUCUUGAGGUGCUGGGGCCAGAAGAGACGAAAAUCCUGCAGGCUGCACAACGCCCAGAAACACACAGCGUCCCCUCCAGUGCCAGGGCUCACGUGAGAGCGCUCCGUGCCGGCGGUCUGCGUCAGGAUGCUGCAGCGUUGGCUGUGCAGAGACUCAAAGAGAUGCCAGUAAUUGGCCAGAAGAGAAGCCUUAAUUGUCCCUGCUCUGGCUGCUGUUAAUGUUAUAAUUACUACUAUCACUACUAAUGAACUUUAAUUAGAAAAAAGCCGCAGUGCCUGCAAGCACCAACUUCUAAAAUCCUUUGAGUCCCCAUCCAGCAUCCUUUGCCCCUGUGAGCAGGGCUGGCUGUGAUGUGGGGCUGUGGGUGUGGGGUGGGGCAGUGGGUGCUCACACGGCUUCCUCUGGCAUGGCGCUGGUUACACAAACAGCUGUACAGAUGUUGAGCUGUCACACGGUUCAGGAGAAUAAAGCAAUUUAACCCAAGCAUGGCCUUUUUAUCAGCAUCUAUCAAACAAGGGAAGUUUUGAAAUAA
This is a long non-coding RNA of Gallus gallus (chicken), 2533 nucleotides long. RefSeq lists it as uncharacterized. Lineage: Eukaryota; Metazoa; Chordata; Aves; Galliformes; Phasianidae. The transcript is spliced from 2 exons. The record is from RefSeq and is a predicted model, not a curated record.